Long non-coding RNA from Monodelphis domestica (gray short-tailed opossum), 494 nucleotides. RefSeq lists it as uncharacterized. The record is from RefSeq and is a predicted model, not a curated record. Lineage: Eukaryota; Metazoa; Chordata; Mammalia; Didelphimorphia; Didelphidae.
ACAGUGAAAUGCUAGGGAAGCUCCCAUUUAAAGGAGUCUGUGAUUAAUCUUUGGAAGCAAAAAAUACUUUGCUAGCCCCCAACUUAUCUACAGAGGUUCUCUUAAAAUUAGACUAUCAACAAAAUAAGUCAAGUCCUGAUUUGUAGGAUGUGCUGGUUUCUGAUAUGUGUAGAUCCUCACACUAAAAAUUUAACAGUUGGCUCAGAGUCUGUUUGAUCUGGCUCCAGCACACUCCUGCCUGAUUCCUAGCAAGAACAUCAUCAACGUCCAGUGGCAAAACAAAAGUCAGGAAAACUAAUGAUGGUCUGGGAUAUAUUGGAUGACCUUGACAACUUGGAUAUCUCAUCAAACACAGGCCUUCUUGACCAUUGGGACAAAUCAUUCUCAUUUGCCCAUUCUUCAGGGAGAAAUCUUCACGUGCUUGGGAUAGACAUCCAUAUAUUAUUCAUGUACACCUCAUUUAAGUUUGAAUUAAAUUGAGUAUAUAUGUCUUA